This 467-nucleotide ribosomal RNA is filed under the name uncultured bacterium. Its description in RNAcentral is "partial 16S ribosomal RNA". It matches the Rfam family "Bacterial small subunit ribosomal RNA", at positions 28 to 507 of the family's 1533-position model. The record is from RNAcentral.
GAUGAACGCUGGCGGCGUGCUUAACACAUGCAAGUCGAACGAUGAUGCCCAGCUUGCUGGGUGGAUUAGUGGCGAACGGGUGAGUAACACGUGAGUAACCUGCCCUUGACUCUGGGAUAAGCCUGGGAAACUGGGUCUAAUACCGGAUACGACCAUCUGGCGCAUGUCAUGGUGGUGGAAAGCUUUUGUGGUUUUGGAUGGACUCGCGGCCUAUCAGCUUGUUGGUGGGGUAAUGGCCUACCAAGGCGAAGACGGGUAGCCGGCCUGAGAGGGUGACCGGCCACACUGGGACUGAGACACGGCCCAGACUCCUACGGGAGGCAGCAGUGGGGAAUAUUGCACAAUGGGCGCAAGCCUGAUGCAGCGACGCCGCGUGAGGGAUGACGGCCUUCGGGUUGUAAACCUCUUUCAGUAGGGAAGAAGCGAAAGUGACGGUACCUGCAGAAGAAGCGCCGGCUAACUACGUG